CCAUGCCCAGCCUGAGCAACUUUUAUUUUUAAGACCUUUAUUAAAUUCACUUCCUGGGAGCCAGACUGUGAUGGAUGCUGGAAAUAUAAAAAUGAAUAGAACCCUGAACUUUGAAGAUUCAAUAUCUAGGGGUGGUGUUAAAAACCUGAGUAGUUACAGCAACAUUGAGCUGUUCAGUGCUGGAAAAUACAGACCUGGAGCUGAAUAUAGACUUGGGAAUCAUCACCAUGUAACUGGUUAUUGAAACCUGUAACAUUCCAUUACUUAGAGGCCUU
This is a long non-coding RNA of Rhinopithecus roxellana (golden snub-nosed monkey), 275 nucleotides long. RefSeq lists it as uncharacterized. NCBI's taxonomy places the organism in Eukaryota, Metazoa, Chordata, Mammalia, Primates, Cercopithecidae. The transcript is spliced from 3 exons. The record is from RefSeq and is a predicted model, not a curated record.